AGAGUUUGAUCCUGGCUCAGGAUGAACGCUAGCGGCAGGCUUAAUACAUGCAAGUCGAGGGGCAGCGCAGUGUAGCAAUACAUGGGCGGCGACCGGCAAACGGGUGCGGAACACGUACACAACCUUCCUUUAAGCGGGGAAUAGCCCGGGGAAACCCGGAUUAAUACCCCAUAGUACGUUGAGAGGGCAUCCUCUUGAUUUUAAAGAUUUAUCACUUAAAGAUGGGUGUGCGGCUGAUUAGGUAGUUGGCGGGGUAACGGCCCACCAAGCCUACGAUCAGUAACUGGUGUGAGAGCACGACCAGUCACACGGGCACUGAGACACGGGCCCGACUCCUACGGGAGGCAGCAGUAAGGAAUAUUGGUCAAUGGACGAAAGUCUGAACCAGCCAUGCCGCGUGGAGGAUGAAGGUCCUCUGGAUUGUAAACUUCUUUUACAUGGGACGAAAAAGGGCCUUUCUAGGUCAACUGACGGUACCAUGUGAAUAAGCACCGGCUAACUCCGUGCCAGCAGCCGCGGUAAUACGGGGGGAGCAAGCGUUGUUCGGAUUUACUGGGCGUAA
Molecule: ribosomal RNA, 562 nt
Filed under: uncultured soil bacterium
Lineage: Bacteria
Description: bacterial SSU rRNA
Rfam family: Bacterial small subunit ribosomal RNA
Source: RNAcentral